CGCGCGCGCGUAUGUCCCCUGCAGGCUCGAUGCCGGCGAGACGUAUCUCGCGUCCGUCGCCGAGACGAAACGUACGCACGUCGAGCACGCCGCUGACGCGGCCUUCGCCCUGNAACCCCGGGGGGGGGCGAGCGGCCGCCCGCCACUGCCCGCGGUCAGCAGCACCGCGCAGCAGAACGUGAUCGGGAUGCGGCGGUUCAUCACCACGCUGUCAGGCCU
Molecule: unclassified non-coding RNA, 219 nt
Filed under: Hevea brasiliensis (rubber tree)
Lineage: Eukaryota; Viridiplantae; Streptophyta; Magnoliopsida; Malpighiales; Euphorbiaceae
Source: RNAcentral